UACAGAGGUCCCAAGCGUUGUUCGGAUUCACUGGGCGUUAAGGGUGCGUAGGCGGUCGGGUAAGUCUGAUGUGAAAUCUCACAGCUUAACUGUGAAACUGCAUUGGAUACUAUCCGGCUCGAGGAAUGGAGGGGAGACUGGAAUACUUGGUGUAGCAGUGAAAUGCGUAGAGAUCGGGAGGAACACCAGAGGCGAAAGCGGCGACCUGGACAGGUACUGACACUCAACUGCGAAAGCGUGGGGAGCAAACAGG
This 253-nucleotide ribosomal RNA is filed under the name uncultured bacterium. Its description in RNAcentral is "partial 16S ribosomal RNA". It matches the Rfam family "Bacterial small subunit ribosomal RNA", at positions 524 to 776 of the family's 1533-position model. The record is from RNAcentral.